Eriocheir sinensis (Chinese mitten crab) is the source of this 1269-nucleotide long non-coding RNA. RefSeq lists it as uncharacterized. The transcript is spliced from 4 exons. Lineage: Eukaryota; Metazoa; Arthropoda; Malacostraca; Decapoda; Varunidae. The record is from RefSeq and is a predicted model, not a curated record.
GGUACUGGUACAGGUACCCGCCCACCCCUAGUCAGCUGUUCUUGACGGCAGGGCGGCGGCAUGCACGAGCGUCACAUUUUUCCCCACAUCUCGACUUUGAGGGCGUGGCGCGGCGCUGGACGAGACGACAAGGCCAAGUGUGGAGUCACCUGACCAGCAUGUUUGUCUCGCAGUCAGCUGUAUACUGGACUACUGUGGCAACCCACAGCUGGUUUGGAAGUGUCCCUCACCCCCAUGGCCCACUACAAGUCUCCCUACACCAGAACACCAGAGGAGCAGCUAGCAAGAGAAUGAGCACUGUGCUCGCCAUGCCUGCUGCCAGCAACCCCAUGGUUGGACUUGGAUGGCUUGGCUGGAUGUAAAAUGGCUAAGAGCAGAGGGGGCUCACUAUUUUUCCUUGGGAAUUGGAGGAAUAGAAGGAGAUGACUGAUGAUUCACCACUGCUUCCUAUAUGCGACUCCUGGCCCCAUUACAAACAACUGCAGGACAGAUUACCACUUCAUUUAUGGGAAGAAUGCAGAUCCGUAGCCAAGACCCUCAGAUCUUCCUAAGUAUAAUCUGAGUAAAAUAAGACAAUUUUCCCAUCAUGCAGGUAGUAUUGAGUCAGUGCACACCUUCAGCCAGUGGCUCGAUUGUUUCAGCAUUUUCAAAGUUAUGACUCUGUACUGACACUUAAAAAUAGCCAUGGCUCACUUCCUAUUCAAAUUUAAAGAACCUUCAUUAAUUGCAAUCUUGACAAAGAACUGGCAGUUUUCAUUGUGUCACCCACAGUUACAGGUCAUUACCAUUGCCUCAUGAAAGUGCUGAAAGAAAUGGCCUUAGCUCCUUGCCUUUGAACUGUGAGCUUUGAUCUAACUAAUUUUGUAUGUUUCUAUGCCUCUUCUUUUUAACUUUCCACUCCUUCCGUAAUCCCUUCAGUAUCACUUAACCAACACUACCAUUCCAGCAUUCCUUCUUUUCAUGUACCAACUCAUUUCUGUUUCAAAUAUAUAUUUUAGCAUUACAUGCUAUUUGCUACAUAUUGUUAGGAUGUUAUUGAUAAAUGUAGUUCCUGUCUGACAAAAAACAGGAGCUGGGCAGAUCUUGUAGUCCUGUCAACAGUCAUGUCCCAAACAACAUUACGAGUAUUAUGCAUAGUUACAAGACUAUAUGAAGCUUUGAUAAAAAAUAUGAACUAUAGUCAGUAUAUCAUAUUAUGAUGAACUAUCACAUGGUUAAUUGAUUUGUGUAUUAUGUAGAAGUUCUUUACUUCUUAUUUCCUUGGCCAGA